This 425-nucleotide ribosomal RNA is filed under the name uncultured bacterium. Its description in RNAcentral is "partial 16S ribosomal RNA". It matches the Rfam family "Bacterial small subunit ribosomal RNA", at positions 359 to 776 of the family's 1533-position model. The record is from RNAcentral.
GAAUUUUGGACAAUGGGCGAACGCCUGAUCCAGCAAUGCCGCGUGCAGGAUGAAGGCCUUCGGGUUGUAAACUGCUUUUGUACGGAACGAAAAGCUUUGGGUUAACACCCUGGAGUCAUUACGGUACCGUAAGAAUAAGCACCGGCUAACUACCGGCCAGACGCCGAGGGAAUACGUAGGGUGCAAGCGUUAAUCGGAAUGACUGGGCGUCAGGCGUGCGCAGGCGGUUGUGUAAGACAGAGGUGGAAUCCCCGGGCUCAACCUGGGAACUGCCUGUGUGACUGCAAGGCUAGAGUACGGCAGAGGGGGGUGGAAUUCCGCGUGAAGCAGUGAAAUGCGUAGAUAUGCGGAGGAACACCGAUGGCGAAGGCAACCCCCUGGGCCUGUACUGACGCUCAUGCACGAAAGCGUGGGGAGCAAACAGG